CGGCACAGUGAACACCCUCGUGUGCUUUCUUUGUAGCUCCCCUGGAUUUUACUCUGUGCUACAGUAAAGUGUGGUCUGUAACCUCUGCAUUGGAGGAGCUGCAUUCUCCUCCACAUGUAUUCAGCAGACCAGUACAUUA
Hucho hucho (huchen) is the source of this 139-nucleotide small nucleolar RNA. NCBI's taxonomy places the organism in Eukaryota, Metazoa, Chordata, Actinopteri, Salmoniformes, Salmonidae. The record is from Ensembl.